This 3501-nucleotide long non-coding RNA is filed under the name Sus scrofa (pig). RNAcentral's name for it is "lncRNA (ENSSSCG00065015244.1)". Lineage: Eukaryota; Metazoa; Chordata; Mammalia; Artiodactyla; Suidae. The record is from RNAcentral.
CACAUAUAACUUAACAGAUCAUUAUAUUUUAUUAUUUUCUUGUCUACAUCUUGAAGAAUUCACAUUAAUAUUUGUGUUAAUGUUUCAAUUUUUUGGAUGUAUUUGUACUGUUCUCUGUUAAAAAGAGAUUGAAAUUGAAAGAUUAUAAAGGGUCGACAAUGUAUUUUCACAAAAAGAUAUACUUGAAACAAAAACUUACUUUAUUCAUGCAGCCACUAGUCAAUAAUUCCCAAAUUUCUACACUGAGAAUAGGAUAAAGCCACACUUAGCCAGUAAGAGUAUUUCAAAUCCUGAGGGAUCCAACAAAGCUGACUGUAAAGAAGUGAUGAUUUCAAAUAGCUAGUUCAUUAGCAUACAUGCAGGCAAUUUACCUGACUCUUUGAAAUAAGUAAUAAGACCUCCAGAAUAGACAUAUAUGAAUUAAAGACAUAUUCCAAGCAAAGUAAUUUGUCUUAUUUUUAAGGAUACCUGAUUAAGCUCUGUUAUUGCUCUAGGGACAAUUUCUAACGCCAUGGCAAGGGUACUUGUGUCUCACUCCUUUUGAUAUACUCAUAUUAAGAAUACAGACUCCAAAAGGCAAGUCAUUCUUUGAAAACCAUGGAAGAUAGAUAAAAAAGACAAAGAGCUUAAAAAUAACUGCAAAGUUGAGAAAAGUAAUUAUGACCUUUGGAUGUAUGAGAGCAAUCAAGGGAUUUGGGGGGAAGAAAAUUUAAAGAAGAUUGCUAUUAGAAAGAGCAUUUAAAAACUCUACAUCAGGGAGUUCCUGUUGUGGCUCCGCAGAUUACUAACCGACUGGUGUCCAUGAGGAUGAGAGUUCAAUCCCUGGCCUUGCUCAGCGGGGAUCUGGUGUUGCUGUAAGCUGUGGUGUAGGUCACAGACCCAUCUCAGAUCCUGCAUUGCUAUGGCUGGGUCAUAGGCUGGCAACUGCAACUCGGAUUUGACCCUCUAGCCUGGGAAAUUUCAUAUGCCAUAGGUGUGGCCCUAAAAAAAAUAAUAAUAUUAAAAAAUAAAAAAAAUCAGUGGAUGCUAAUAUUCAGAAUUAAUCUCAUGUAUACUAAAGUAACUGGCUAAAGGCAUUUCAAGGUCAUAGAGCCCUCCAUGUACUUAACUGAUAGAGUAAGUGUUUAUGAGUAUUUUGGUAUUGGUAUUAGUCAUAGUAAGCUAAGCUUUGCAGCAGUAAUAAAACUCAGUAAUUCUCUAAUCUUGGCUUUGUGUGAGAAUCCAAUUACCAGCACUGUUGAGUAUUUUUGGUGGCUGUAUUUAGAACUUGUUCUUUGAUGGUGACUCAGGAAGCCAGGGUCUUUCCACUAGCCAUAGAUAGAAAAGAGAGAGAAUGAAGAAUUCUCACCUGUUUUUAACUGUCUCGGGCAACAAAUAACAAUGACUGUCACUCACUUUUAUACUGAAGAGGACCCAAUCAUAUGAUCCAAAUCUAACCAUUAGGGAUACUGAGGACUGUCAUUUUCAGUGUUCUAUAGGAAAGGGAAUUGUUGUAUUAAACAUAUACCAUAGUCCCCAUUACAGUACUCUGGGGAAUACAGCGAGAGCUAGGCGAGUUACCAAAGGCUUUUAAAAGUAUAUACUUGAAAGGGAAAAUUACUUCACCCAUGAAGCAGCUAGUCAAUAUUUCAUAAAUUCCUGCCUAGAGAGUACAAUGUUCCAUUUGAUUUCUGAUAGAGCAUUAGAGGUUUGCAAAAGCAGGCUUCCCUGGGCCAUAUACAUGUUCAUUAUUUGUUUUACCUACCAGGAGAAAGAGAACUUAAAUACAUAAGUUCUGACCUACAAGUUUACCAGUGAAGGCUAAAGAGGAGAGACAGAUGAGAAUCACUCAUCUAAAGGGAGAAAAAAAUAUUGAUUAUGUAAUAUACCAUAGAAAAGAGCAUUACUAGGUGCUGUUGUCACAGAAAUUUGUGUUAAAUAUUAGUCACGUACUUUAUGGACCCUAGUAGGGGCCCAGAAGUCCUAGUAAUCUGUAGAAAAUGCUCGUUCUGUUUGGGCUUUUGUUUUGGUUUGAAUGUUGAGACUGAUGACACUUCAUAUGCACCAAGAAGGUAUAAAAAGUUUUAUUACUCACAAGAGGCUUUCUGGAGAGAAAAGAAUAUGCUCCCACUGGUUUAAAGAUGGCCUUGAGAGAGCAGGGAAGGAGACUGCCUUGGAAUUUAUGGAAGUUACAGGGUGGGGCUGGGGCUGGAUCCCAGGGGGAUGGAACUUUCAUUGUUUUAACUUCCCACUGGCUCCAAGGGCGAAAGCAUUCAGGCUUUCUUACCCGCUUAUUGAGGUGUAGGGAAGAAGGGCAAAGGGGAGUGGACAGACUUCAACGCUGUCGGCUGUCAAACAUAUAAAAGGAGUCAGACUUGGUGACAGCUUUUCUGAAGGUCAUCUAUAUGUUUCUGUCUCAAAUAACAUCGAAUCUGACAUUCAACAUGUCAACGUGUGUGUGUGUGUGUGUGUGUGUGUGUGUGUGUGUUGGGAGGAGGAUUAUAAAUAUUAAUAAAAAAUUGGAAAAUUUAACUUUUAUCACCUGAGAAGUCUCCUUAAGCAAGCUUUAGAACUUGUUACAGACAUAUGUAAUAUUAAAGGUAAAAAUACGAGACUACUCAAGUAAUUGUUCUGUUUUUGUCAGGCAAGGUCCUUGAUUGUCUUUGGUGUAAAAACUCUCCAUGGAAUAAAUAUCAGAAUGUAUUAUGCAGCUAGAAAAUUAAAAAAGGUCUAUGAUCAUCAACGGGUAUCCUCACACUAAUUUCAAACAUGAAAAUCAUACCAUAGAUUUGUUUUAAUUUUUCAUUUUCUAACAAAUAUUUACUGGAUAUGUACUACAUGCUGGGCUUUAGAAUCUUGGCACACUUGAAAAGACUUGAAUGGUUCACAGGCAGUUUGAAAUAAGUAUGGUAGAAGUUCCCUAUCCAUUCAAUAUUUAACUUAAGGACUGGAAAGUUUGACAAAUAAUGCAUGUUUUAUUAUACUUAUCACAUGUAGCAUACCUGCAUACCAAAUUAAAAAUUAGUAGAAAUUGAAGCUGAAAAAUGAACUCCAGGAUGAGUUUUUUCAUCCCAAGUACUGAAAAGAAUCACAGUCUGUGACUCUGGGAACAUAUAUCAUUCCACCUCGUGGCAGUUUUCUUCAUUGACCACAUGGUCAUGAUUUUUCAUAUACCCUAGUCCAGGUGAGAAUAUUUCUGACGGUCUUCUCAUUUGGAGGUCUUCUCAGGUCUUUCUCUCCACCUCUUACACAGUGAGAGCACCCAGUGAGGGCUGACAGUAGGAAAAAAAUAUCAAAACUCCUCACAUUGCAUACAAUGUGCCUUAAACGAGCAUUGGCCCAGAUUUUAUUGGAUUUUCAUUCCAGUAGUUUUGUCCAACUUUGUGGUCAAAUUUGUUUCUUUGUGGCCUGUGGUAAAGCAAAUUUUCUUUUGGUACAACAUAAGCUUGAAUGCCCAUGUUUUAGAACUGGAAACAGAAUCACUUGCGCAGGAAAAAAAAAAAAAAAAAUUAAAAAAAAAAA